Molecule: non-coding RNA, 45 nt
Filed under: Schistosoma curassoni
Lineage: Eukaryota; Metazoa; Platyhelminthes; Trematoda; Strigeidida; Schistosomatidae
Source: RNAcentral
AUCCAGCUGAUGAGUCCCAAAUGGGACGAAACGUGCGUCCUAGAU